RNAcentral lists this ribosomal RNA (168 nucleotides) under uncultured Tetragenococcus sp. RNAcentral's name for it is "partial 16S ribosomal RNA". It matches the Rfam family "Bacterial small subunit ribosomal RNA", at positions 362 to 525 of the family's 1533-position model. Lineage: Bacteria; Bacillati; Bacillota; Bacilli; Lactobacillales; Enterococcaceae. The record is from RNAcentral.
UCUUCCCAUGGACGAAGUCUGAUGGAGCAACGCCGCGUGAGUGAAGAAGGUUUUCGGAUCGUAAAACUCUGUUGUUGGAGAAGAAUGUAUUUGAUAGUAACUGAUCAGAUAGUGACGGUAUCCAACCAGAAAGCCACGGCUAACUACGUGCCAGCAGCCGCGGUAAUA